Molecule: ribosomal RNA, 254 nt
Filed under: uncultured bacterium
Lineage: Bacteria
Description: partial 16S ribosomal RNA
Rfam family: Bacterial small subunit ribosomal RNA
Source: RNAcentral
UACGUAGGGUGCGAGCGUUGUCCGGAAUUAUUGGGCGUAAAGAGCUCGUAGGCGGUCUGUCGCGUCGAUCGUGAAAACUUGGGGCUUAACCCUGAGCUUGCGGUCGAUACGGGCAUGACUGGAGUUCGGCAGGGGAGACUGGAAUUCCUGGUGUAGCGGUGAAAUGCGUAGAUAUUGGGAGGAACACCAGUGGCGAAGGCGGCUCACUGGACCGGAACUGACGCUGAGGCGCGAAAGCGUGGGGAGCAAACAGG